This 956-nucleotide ribosomal RNA is filed under the name Corollospora maritima. Its description in RNAcentral is "LSU rRNA". It matches the Rfam family "Eukaryotic large subunit ribosomal RNA", at positions 40 to 961 of the family's 3401-position model. Lineage: Eukaryota; Fungi; Ascomycota; Sordariomycetes; Microascales; Halosphaeriaceae. The record is from RNAcentral.
AUAUCAAUAAGCGGAGGAAAAGAAACCAACAGGGAUUGCCUCAGUAACGGCGAGUGAAGCGGCAACAGCUCAAAUUUGAAAUCUGGCCUCCUUGCGGGGUCCGAGUUGUAGUUUGCAGAGGAUGCUUUGGGCAAGGCGCCUUCCGAGUGCCCUGGAACGGGACGCCGCAGAGGGUGAGAGCCCCCUACGGUUGGUGGCCGAGCCUGUGUAAAGCUCCCUCGACGAGUCGAGUAGUUUGGGAAUGCUGCUCUAAAUGGGAGGUACACCCCUUCUAAAGCUAAAUACCCGCCAGAGACCGAUAGCGCACAAGUAGAGUGAUCGAAAGAUGAAAAGCACUUUGAAAAGAGAGUUAAACAGCACGUGAAAUUGUUGAAAGGGAAGCGCUUGUGGCCAGACUCGGGCCCGGUGGCUCAGCCGUCCCUCGCGGGCGGUGCACUCUGCCGGGCCUGGGCCAGCAUCAGCUUGUGGCGGGGGAGAAAGGCGGUGGGAACGUGGCUCUUCGGAGUGUUAUAGCCCGCCGUCAUGCCCCGCCGCGGGCUGAGGUUCGCGCUCCGCAAGGAUGCUGGCGUAAUGGCCACCAGCGACCCGUCUUGAAACACGGACCAAGGAGUCGUCCUAGCAUGCGAGUGUUCGGGUGCAAAGCCCCUACGCGGAAUGAAAGUGAACGUAGGUGGGAGCCUCCGGGCGCACCACCGACCGAUCCUGAUGUUCUCGGAUGGAUUUGAGUAAGAGCAUGCUGGGCCGGACCCGAAAGAAGGUGAACUAUGCUUGGAUAGGGCAAAGCCAGAGGAAACUCUGGUGGAGGCUCGCAGCGGUUCUGACGUGCAAAUCGAUCGUCAAAUCUGAGCAUGGGGGCGAAAGUGAGUGCCAACCCGGGCUUUGCAUUACAUACGUACAGUGGGCGCAGUGCUAACGUUCAGCAGGACUAAUCGAACCUUCUAGUAGCUGGUUUCCGC